CCUACGGGCGGCAGCAGUGAGGAAUAUUGGUCAAUGGCCGGAAGGCUGAACCAGCCAUGCCGCGUGAAGGUCAGUGCCCUAUGGGCGUUAAACUUCUUUUGUGCGGGAGCAAUAAUGGUCACGUGUGGCCAGACGAGAGUACCGUACGAAUAAGCACCGGCUAACUACGUGCCAGCAGCCGCGGUAAUACGGGGGAUGCAAGCGUUAGCCGGAUUUAUGGGGUCUAAAGGGUGCGUAGGCUGUGAGGUAAGUCAGCGGUGAAAUGCCCCCGGUCAACGGGGUGAAGUGCCAUUGAUACUGCCUGGCUGGAAUGCGGAUGCGGUAGGAGGAAUGUGUGGUGUAGCGGUGAAAUGCAUAGAUAUCACACAGAACACCGAUUGCGAAGGCGUCUCACGAAUACGCGAUUGACGCUGAUGCACGAAAGCGUGGGUAUCAAACAGGAUUAGAUACCCCAGUAGUC
This 460-nucleotide ribosomal RNA is filed under the name uncultured bacterium. RNAcentral describes it as "partial 16S ribosomal RNA". It matches the Rfam family "Bacterial small subunit ribosomal RNA", at positions 338 to 795 of the family's 1533-position model. The record is from RNAcentral.